GCAGUGGUGGUUCAGUGGUAGAAUUCUCACCUUCUAUGUGGGAGACUUGGGUUUGAUUCCUGGCCAAUACA
RNAcentral lists this transfer RNA (71 nucleotides) under Loxodonta africana (African savanna elephant). It matches the Rfam family "tRNA". Rfam says of the family: Transfer RNA (tRNA) molecules are approximately 80 nucleotides in length. The record is from Rfam by way of RNAcentral. Lineage: Eukaryota; Metazoa; Chordata; Mammalia; Proboscidea; Elephantidae.